GGUGGCUUUUGCUUUGUGGGCAGAGGUCGGUUUGUCGCACCGACGGGCGAGUAACUUUCUUGUCCGCGACAAGAAAGUAACCA
RNAcentral lists this transfer RNA (83 nucleotides) under compost metagenome. Its description in RNAcentral is "tRNA-Asp". The record is from RNAcentral.